Molecule: ribosomal RNA, 1362 nt
Filed under: Shigella flexneri
Lineage: Bacteria; Pseudomonadati; Pseudomonadota; Gammaproteobacteria; Enterobacterales; Enterobacteriaceae
Description: bacterial SSU rRNA
Rfam family: Bacterial small subunit ribosomal RNA
Source: RNAcentral
UAAUGUCGCAAGACCAAAGAGGGGGACCUUCGGGCCUCUUGCCAUCGGAUGUGCCCAGAUGGGAUUAGCUUGUUGGUGGGGUAACGGCUCACCAAGGCGACGAUCCCUAGCUGGUCUGAGAGGAUGACCAGCCACACUGGAACUGAGACACGGUCCAGACUCCUACGGGAGGCAGCAGUGGGGAAUAUUGCACAAUGGGCGCAAGCCUGAUGCAGCCAUGCCGCGUGUAUGAAGAAGGCCUUCGGGUUGUAAAGUACUUUCAGCGGGGAGGAAGGGAGUAAAGUUAAUACCUUUGCUCAUUGACGUUACCCGCAGAAGAAGCACCGGCUAACUCCGUGCCAGCAGCCGCGGUAAUACGGAGGGUGCAAGCGUUAAUCGGAAUUACUGGGCGUAAAGCGCACGCAGGCGGUUUGUUAAGUCAGAUGUGAAAUCCCCGGGCUCAACCUGGGAACUGCAUCUGAUACUGGCAAGCUUGAGUCUCGUAGAGGGGGGUAGAAUUCCAGGUGUAGCGGUGAAAUGCGUAGAGAUCUGGAGGAAUACCGGUGGCGAAGGCGGCCCCCUGGACGAAGACUGACGCUCAGGUGCGAAAGCGUGGGGAGCAAACAGGAUUAGAUACCCUGGUAGUCCACGCCGUAAACGAUGUCGACUUGGAGGUUGUGCCCUUGAGGCGUGGCUUCCGGAGCUAACGCGUUAAGUCGACCGCCUGGGGAGUACGGCCGCAAGGUUAAAACUCAAAUGAAUUGACGGGGGCCCGCACAAGCGGUGGAGCAUGUGGUUUAAUUCGAUGCAACGCGAAGAACCUUACCUGGUCUUGACAUCCACGGAAGUUUUCAGAGAUGAGAAUGUGCCUUCGGGAACCGUGAGACAGGUGCUGCAUGGCUGUCGUCAGCUCGUGUUGUGAAAUGUUGGGUUAAGUCCCGCAACGAGCGCAACCCUUAUCCUUUGUUGCCAGCGGUCCGGCCGGGAACUCAAAGGAGACUGCCAGUGAUAAACUGGAGGAAGGUGGGGACGACGUCAAGUCAUCAUGGCCCUUACGACCAGGGCUACACACGUGCUACAAUGGCGCAUACAAAGAGAAGCGACCUCGCGAGAGCAAGCGGACCUCAUAAAGUGCGUCGUAGUCCGGAUUGGAGUCUGCAACUCGACUCCAUGAAGUCGGAAUCGCUAGUAAUCGUGGAUCAGAAUGCCACGGUGAAUACGUUCCCGGGCCUUGUACACACCGCCCGUCACACCAUGGGAGUGGGUUGCAAAAGAAGUAGGUAGCUUAACCUUCGGGAGGGCGCUUACCACUUUGUGAUUCAUGACUGGGGUGAAGUCGUAACAAGGUAACCGUAGGGGAACCUGCGGUUGGAUCACCUCCUU